Non-coding RNA from Oryctolagus cuniculus (rabbit), 1701 nucleotides. NCBI's taxonomy places the organism in Eukaryota, Metazoa, Chordata, Mammalia, Lagomorpha, Leporidae. The record is from RefSeq and is a predicted model, not a curated record.
CCUACAGUGCACAGCGUGUCCUGCCUCUGUGAUCUGCUCUGCCAGCGCCGGCCUUUUCCUGGGCGCUGCUCCACCUGAAGCCCUUCCCGUGGUAGCCUGGGUGUCCUGAGGGCAGGAGCUACAUUCUGCACCCUGCUCAGGGACCUGUUACCUCUGAAUGUUCCUGGUAACGGCUCAGUGAGCACUCACAGAGGAAAGCUCAGGGCUUUCCUAUAGAACCUUGUUUUGGGGGAACCAUCCUGUGUGCUUGCGUGACUCUGUCUCCACUUUGACAGGUGGCAAAACCGAUGCUCCCAGGAGUCUAGAAACCCGGUUCACACUCACAUCCAAGCUUCCAGUCCUCUGCGCACCCCACGACGACUGCCGCCCAAGCAGCCUCUCACUCCUCCAGUGUGUGCACCACGAAAGCAUGCCUACUGUUUGCGGAUCGCUUCUAAGACAUCUUUCAGAUGAAGAAGACAAGGCUUGGAAAGAUCAGGAGCAUGAUGGAGGCCGCACAUCAGGAGCCUCCAGGUGGCACAUGCCAGCCGUGACCCUGUGCUACCUGUUAAUGGCUGCGGACCCGAGAGAAGUUCAGACGGGUGUGCGAUGCUCGAGACCACAGCAGCUUCACUAGACGAGGGCACGCCAGAGUCACUUCUUUCAUGGAUUAUUGAUGCUGUGCCACUAUUAAUAAUCACUGGACCUGUUGAGCAUUUACGGUGUGGCAGAUCUAUGCCAAACCCCUUCCAUAAUUGAUUUUCUUUCGGUUAUUCCUUGCCUCAGGUAGGUAUUAUUUAUCAUCUCCAUUUUAUAGAUGAGACUGUUGAAGUUUAGGGAACUGAUAGCUCCAUUGUUCCUAUAUGAAGAUGCUGGAACUUGAACCUACCCUGACUAUGGCGAAGCCCCUAGCCAUACUCUUAAUCACUCUGCUUUCCUGUGAUGACCUUCUUUUAUGAAAAUGUUGUCUUUAAAUCCCUAUCAUGGGGGCCAGCGCUGUAGCACAGUGGGUGGAGCCGCCGCCUGUGGUGCCCUGCCGGCAUCCCAUGUGGGUGCCGGUUGGAGUCCUGACUCUCUGAUCCAGCUCUCUGCUAUGUCCUAGGAAAUCGGUGGAGGAUGGCCCAAGUGCUUGGGCCUCUGCACCCAUGUGGGAGACCUGAAAGAAGCUCCUGGCUCCUGGCUUCGGAUCAGCGCAGCUCCAGUCGUUGUGGCCAUCUCGGGGGUGAGCCAGUGGAUGGAAGACUUCUGUCUCUCUCUGCCUCUGCCUCUCUGUAACUCUGCCUUUCAAACAAAUAAAUACAUAUUUAAAAAAAAAUCCCAAUCUUGAAGCUUUCUCUGAUUUUGAAACUAGGGGCUGUGCGAUUAUUGGGGUUACAAGUAUGAGGGAUCAAUCGUUUCGUGCACUGAGUGGUCAGUGGGUUGACUGACAACAGUACUGUUCACUCAGACUCUGAAUAGGGCUGUGGGUGGUGGGAGCUGAGGGACAGGAUGCCAGCUGGGCUCCUGCUGAGUUUGCGCCCAUGUCCCUUACAGUCACAUCUGUGCCUGCCUUUGCUCAUUCCAAGCCUCCUCUCCCAGACCGAAUACAAAAGUGAUGGGGCUGGCUGUCAGAGCUAAGGACCGCUGAGGCUUCUGAAGGAAGAGGCAGCGGUUUCAGAAGAUGAACCCUGUGGUUUAGGAAGACAUCAGCUGAACUUGUGAGCUGAGCUCAUUUUGUCUGUU